RNAcentral lists this long non-coding RNA (329 nucleotides) under Mus musculus (house mouse). Its description in RNAcentral is "predicted gene, 40864". Lineage: Eukaryota; Metazoa; Chordata; Mammalia; Rodentia; Muridae. The record is from RNAcentral.
GCGGCCGCAGUCCGCGCCCCGGCGCCCUGGCGAUGCUGGACCAGAUCUCCGUGUCGGAAUUCGUGGCCGAGACCCUUGAAGAUUAUAAGGCGCCCACGGCCUCUUGCUUCACCACGGGCACGGCCCAGUGCCGGGACACCGUGGCGGCCAUCGAUGAGGAUGCAGUGACUUAUGAUGAUGUGCACGUGAACUUCACUGGGGAAGAGUGGAAUUUGCUGGAUCCUUCCCAGAAGAGUCUCUACAAAGAUGUGAUGCUGGAGACCUACUGGAACCUCACUGUUAUAGGCUACACUUGGGAAAACCAUCAUAUUGAAAGACAUUGUCAAAGU